This 402-nucleotide long non-coding RNA is filed under the name Mytilus galloprovincialis (Mediterranean mussel). The record is from RNAcentral. Lineage: Eukaryota; Metazoa; Mollusca; Bivalvia; Mytilida; Mytilidae.
GUAUGAUAAAGUGUUCAUUUUAUAUCCUCAUAGUUCUCGUACAUAUGUGAAAUAAUAAUGUCAUGCUGGGCUUGAUUUUGAGAAGAAUUAUUUGACAAUUUAAGAUACGUUUAUGAUACAGAUUUCUUUAGGUGACAUAUUUAUGGCCUAAUUAACACCUUUGAUGGUCCUUAAUCUGUUGAUCACUUUAUCUUGGUAGUCUCAGCUUGGGAUAAUUAGUGUUGUCACUACGAUUUACACGGGUCAAUGUUUACUUUGCAAUUUCCUUCAAUCCAGACUAUUUGUAACCUUCGUUUCUAAAGGCUUUAAUAUUUCACUUUUAUUUUAAAAACCUCAAAUCCACGAAUUUAAAAACCCACAAACAUAUAAAUAUUGCUCAAACCACGAAAAUUGAUACCCACG